RNAcentral lists this ribosomal RNA (1343 nucleotides) under uncultured bacterium. RNAcentral's name for it is "16S ribosomal RNA". It matches the Rfam family "Bacterial small subunit ribosomal RNA", at positions 28 to 1378 of the family's 1533-position model. The record is from RNAcentral.
GACGAACGCUGUCGGCGUGCUUAACACAUGCAAGUCGAACGGAAAGGCCCUGCUUUUGUGGGGUGCUCGAGUGGCGAACGGGUGAGUAACACGUGAGUAACCUGCCCUUGACUUUGGGAUAACUUCAGGAAACUGGGGCUAAUACCGGAUAGGAGCUCCUGCUGCAUGGUGGGGGUUGGAAAGUUUCGGCGGUUGGGGAUGGACUCGCGGCUUAUCAGCUUGUUGGUGGGGUAGUGGCUUACCAAGGCUUUGACGGGUAGCCGGCCUGAGAGGGUGACCGGCCACAUUGGGACUGAGAUACGGCCCAGACUCCUACGGGAGGCAGCAGUGGGGAAUAUUGCACAAUGGGCGGAAGCCUGAUGCAGCAACGCCGCGUGCGGGAUGACGGCCUUCGGGUUGUAAACCGCUUUCGCCUGUGACGAAGCGUGAGUGACGGUAAUGGGUAAAGAAGCACCGGCUAACUACGUGCCAGCAGCCGCGGUGAUACGUAGGGUGCGAGCGUUGUCCGGAUUUAUUGGGCGUAAAGGGCUCGUAGGUGGUUGAUCGCGUCGGAAGUGUAAUCUUGGGGCUUAACCCUGAGCGUGCUUUCGAUACGGGUUGACUUGAGGAAGGUAGGGGAGAAUGGAAUUCCUGGUGGAGCGGUGGAAUGCGCAGAUAUCAGGAGGAACACCAGUGGCGAAGGCGGUUCUCUGGGCCUUUCCUGACGCUGAGGAGCGAAAGCGUGGGGAGCGAACAGGCUUAGAUACCCUGGUAGUCCACGCUGUAAACGGUGGGUACUAGGUGUGGGGUCCAUUCCACGGGUUCCGUGCCGUAGCUAACGCUUUAAGUACCCCGCCUGGGGAGUACGGCCGCAAGGCUAAAACUCAAAGGAAUUGACGGGGCCCCGCACAAGCGGCGGAGCAUGCGGAUUAAUUCGAUGCAACGCGUAGAACCUUACCUGGGUUUGACAUGGAUCGGGAGUGCUCAGAGAUGGGUGUGCCUCUUUUGGGGUCGGUUCACAGGUGGUGCAUGCCUGUCGUCAGCUCGUGUCGUGAGAUGUUGGGUUAAGUCCCGCAACGAGCGCAACCCUUGUUCACUGUUGCCAGCACGUUAUGGUGGGGACUCAGUGGAGACCGCCGGGGUCAACUCGGAGGAAGGUGGGGAUGACGUCAAGUCAUCAUGCCCCUUAUGUCCAGGGCUUCACGCAUGCUACAAUGGCUGGUACAGAGAGUGGCGAGCCUGUGAGGGUGAGCGAAUCUCGGAAAGCCGGUCUCAGUUCGGAUUGGGGUCUGCAACUCGACCUCAUGAAGUCGGAGUCGCUAGUAAUCGCAGAUCAGCAACGCUGCGGUGAAUACGUUCCCGGG